GACGGAGGAUGCAAGUGUUAUCCGGAAUCACUGGGCGUAAAGCGUCUGUAGGUGGUUUAAUAAGUCAACUGUUAAAUCUUGAGGCUCAACCUCAAAAUCGCAGUCGAAACUAUUAGGCUAGAGUAUAGUAGGGGUAAAGGGAAUUUCCAGUGGAGCGGUGAAAUGCGUAGAGAUUGGAAAGAACGCCGAUGGCGAAGGCACUUUACUGGGCUAUUACUAACACUCAGAGACGAAAGCUAGGGUAGCAAAUGGG
Molecule: ribosomal RNA, 253 nt
Filed under: uncultured bacterium
Lineage: Bacteria
Description: partial 16S ribosomal RNA
Rfam family: Bacterial small subunit ribosomal RNA
Source: RNAcentral